RNAcentral lists this transfer RNA (72 nucleotides) under Thermoleophilaceae bacterium. Its description in RNAcentral is "tRNA-Gln". It matches the Rfam family "tRNA". Rfam says of the family: Transfer RNA (tRNA) molecules are approximately 80 nucleotides in length. Their secondary structure includes four short double-helical elements and three loops (D, anti-codon, and T loops). The record is from RNAcentral. Lineage: Bacteria; Bacillati; Actinomycetota; Thermoleophilia; Thermoleophilales; Thermoleophilaceae.
UCGGGGAUGGGGUAGCUGGCAGCCCGCCAGGUUCUGGUCCUGGAAGCCAUGGUUCGAUUCCAUGUCCCCGAG